UGUUAAAAAUUUCAUCUCUUUGUACUGUUAAAAACUAGCGUGGUCGAUCGAAUAACUAGACAAUGACAUAUGGUGUGCAAUGUGUACCUCAUGUUGACGUACAAGAACCAAAUUUUAAUAGUAGAAAUUGAUGGAAUUUUUAAUA
Gossypium hirsutum (cotton) is the source of this 145-nucleotide non-coding RNA. The record is from Rfam. NCBI's taxonomy places the organism in Eukaryota, Viridiplantae, Streptophyta, Magnoliopsida, Malvales, Malvaceae.